CUUCCUGCGACAGUUACCUCAUGAAAAAUAUGUUAUAUGUCAAAUUAACUUCACGGUGCAGACCUCAGCUAAGCAGACCCAGGACAUCUCCCUAACGGAACUUGAAAGAUAUUAAAGAACAAACAUCAGAGACAUAAAUAAAAAUCUCUGCUUUACACAGGUGAUGCCGAUGCUGCCGCUCUAAGGACCACCCUUCGAAAACCACCGUUUGAAAACUACCUACAAAACUUCUAAUAAUAAUGAGUGCUUGCGCUGUGCUGAAGGUUUUGCAUAUGUCACCUCAUCUCAUCUUUGUAACAACACUAUGAAAGGGGAAUAAAUAUCCCCAACUUAUAAUAAGGAACUUGAGGCUGAGGCAUGAGUUAACCGGCCAGCCCAGUGUGGAAAGUCUAACUCCAGAGGUCAGGACAUGGAUAACACUGCUGGUGGGAAACACCGACCCAAGCAGGAGCCACAGGACAGCAGUAGAGAGGUUACAGAGAUGCUGCUCUCUUAUGUAAAUGGAUUCUUCUCCCGGUACCCCCACUGCCCUCCAAAGAAGCCUCCAUCCUAGAGGACAGCUCUGGAGUAUAACAGACUAUACGUGGGUGCCAGGGGUUACAAGCCUUCUCUAUAGCUCAAUUACUCAUCUGUUUCAUGGACCUAAUAAUUCCUCCCUCCACGGCUUGUAAGAAUUAAAUGAGAUAAUGUAUGUAAAGCACUUAGUACCUGGGGCAUCAUACCAGCUCAGAAGCUGCUGGCUCUUUUAUUAUUAUUGCUAUUGUUGCUUCGUUAUCAUCAUCAGCAUUAAUGUUGUCAUCCUCAAGGGAAGAGCAAUUAUUUCAAAGGGAAAGUAUAAUGGCCUUGAUAAUCUUCCGUGAUCAGUUCACAGUAUUCCUCCUGUUAAUCAAAAGCUUGGCAGUUUGGGUCACGUGGUUCUAAUGACACAGGUGCUCCUGACAGAAUUAGCAAAAAAGGAAAGUAAAAUAAAGCAGCAUUUGGUGCCCUACUUUUCUCCAGUACGGUUUACAUGUUCUCCUAAUUAAAUUUUUGAGUAAACUUCGUUCCACAGCCGUGCUGGGUUUACUCAGAUGCACUAUAGAAUGAUUCACAGCCUUGAUAGAAACUUCUCCGCUCUCGGUGCCAAAUGCCUUGCUGUAGGUGCAACAUGAGAAUUCAUCUAUUAUUUUACCCUCGCUUAAUUAAUUCCACUGCCAGCUACCUGUUGAUGAUGGGGGUCUGUUGGCAAUGCUGAACAAAGUCUUAAGUCAAAGAGUUUUAAUAACAUGUUUACUGCUGGGUGGUCUGCCACUUUUGAUUAAACUUCAUGAGGAUUUAUAACCAUGUCUCCCCCCACAUGUCUGUAACCUUUAAGGGAUGUCUGAUACAAAGCAAAGGUCAUGGGUUCCAAAAGCCCUUCUUCUAAUAAAUAUGUUAGAC
Molecule: long non-coding RNA, 1419 nt
Organism: Prionailurus viverrinus (fishing cat)
Lineage: Eukaryota; Metazoa; Chordata; Mammalia; Carnivora; Felidae
Exons: 3
Source: RefSeq, a predicted model, not a curated record